Molecule: non-coding RNA, 23 nt
Filed under: Arabidopsis thaliana (thale cress)
Lineage: Eukaryota; Viridiplantae; Streptophyta; Magnoliopsida; Brassicales; Brassicaceae
Source: RNAcentral
GAAACGCUGAUGGAGAUUGCCUA